This 628-nucleotide long non-coding RNA is filed under the name Cervus hanglu yarkandensis (Yarkand deer). Its description in RNAcentral is "lncRNA (ENSCHYG00000024767.1)". Lineage: Eukaryota; Metazoa; Chordata; Mammalia; Artiodactyla; Cervidae. The record is from RNAcentral.
CAUUCACGCGGCAGCUGGGAGGAACCAAACGGGCGCCUGGGAGGGGGCGGCUCCCGCGAGCCCAGCGCGGGGCGAGGGGCGGGAAGGGAGAAAACGGGGGUGGCGGGCAGGAGAGAAGGGAGGCCGCCUCGGGCCUGCUUGCCAGCUGCCGAGUGAACUGGGAAGAAAUGAGACAAGGGAAGAAUUCCUCGAAUUUUAGGAUUGUGUUCUUGAAGGCUGGAGAGCGUUUAGUAAAUAUAGAACGACUGCAAAUACAGGUAUUGCUGCCUAAGUUUUGAGCUGACCAGAGAAAAUCGCCAUCACAGUCACCAAAUCAAAUAGCUGCAUGGGACUUAAGAGGUGAGUUCGUCCUAACUUUUAUUUUACACAGGGAACUGAGCCCCAAAAUGUAUAAGCCAUACUAUACUCUUGGCCUCUCUAUUUUUGCUAUCAAAAAGAAGCAUGUCUUGUACCAUAGGUACUUCUAAAAUGUUCAGAGUACAUGUCAGGUAACAAAUGUAGCUAUUAAUCUAUUUCAAAAUAUGCUUGAUAGACUUUCAAUAUUCCUGUGACUUUCUGGAAAUGAAACAGGAAAUCAAAUUUUAAAAAAGCCCAGGGUCCAAUUUUCAAUAUCUAAUCCAGUUUCUUC